Molecule: transfer RNA, 70 nt
Filed under: Ipomoea nil (Japanese morning glory)
Lineage: Eukaryota; Viridiplantae; Streptophyta; Magnoliopsida; Solanales; Convolvulaceae
Rfam family: tRNA
About the family: Transfer RNA (tRNA) molecules are approximately 80 nucleotides in length. Their secondary structure includes four short double-helical elements and three loops (D, anti-codon, and T loops). Further hydrogen bonds mediate the characteristic L-shaped molecular structure. tRNAs have two regions of fundamental functional importance: the anti-codon, which is responsible for specific mRNA codon recognition, and the 3' end, to which the tRNAs corresponding amino acid is attached (by aminoacyl-tRNA synthetases). tRNAs cope with the degeneracy of the genetic code in two manners: having more than one tRNA (with a specific anti-codon) for a particular amino acid; and 'wobble' base-pairing, i.e. permitting non-standard base-pairing at the 3rd anti-codon position.
Source: Rfam by way of RNAcentral
GUGCAUUUAGUGCAGUGGUAUCAUAGUACCCUCCCACAGUACUGACCGGGUUCAAUUCCCCGAAUGUGCA